This 519-nucleotide ribosomal RNA is filed under the name uncultured bacterium. RNAcentral describes it as "bacterial SSU rRNA". It matches the Rfam family "Bacterial small subunit ribosomal RNA", at positions 8 to 518 of the family's 1533-position model. The record is from RNAcentral.
AGAGUUGAUCCUGGCUCAGGAUGAACGCUAGCGACAGGCUUAACACAUGCAAGUCGAGGGGCAUCACGGGAGUAGCAAUACAACUGGUGGCGACCGGCGCACGGGUGAGUAACGCGUAUGCAACCUACCUAUCAGAGGGGAAUAACCCGGCGAAAGUCGGACUAAUACCGCAUAAAACAGGGGCACCGCAUGGUGAUAUUUGUUAAAGAAAUUCGCUGAUAGAUGGGCAUGCGUUCCAUUAGGUAGUUGGUGAGGUAACGGCUCACCAAGCCGACGAUGGAUAGGGGAACUGAGAGGUUGGUCCCCCACACUGGUACUGAGACACGGACCAGACUCCUACGGGAGGCAGCAGUGAGGAAUAUUGGUCAAUGGGCGGGAGCCUGAACCAGCCAAGUCGCGUGAAGGAAAGAAGGAUCUAUGGUUCGUAAACUUCUUUUGCAGGGGAAUAAAGUGCAGGACGUGUCCUGUUUUGUAUGUACCCUGAGAAUAAGGAUCGGCUAACUCCGUGCCAGCAGCUGC